Tachysurus fulvidraco (yellow catfish) is the source of this 2551-nucleotide long non-coding RNA. RefSeq lists it as uncharacterized. NCBI's taxonomy places the organism in Eukaryota, Metazoa, Chordata, Actinopteri, Siluriformes, Bagridae. The record is from RefSeq and is a predicted model, not a curated record. The transcript is spliced from 2 exons.
AUGAUACAUUAUCAGCACACAUGAUAGUAGGUAGCUACGUGCUAAGGCUAACUUUUUUCCGUGUUAAUGAUAAAAUAAAUAAUAAUGUACUUUCUCGAGCUCUGAACCAGCACUCAACCAGUACUUUUUGAUGGAAAAAGGGUAUAUUAUGUGACUCCCAGAGCCAGCAAGACCUUUGGGUAAGUAGAAUAGGUUUAAAGCCUAGUGUCGCCUUAAGCAUGAAAACUGAGGUUACAAACACUUGGCCUGGUUGCCAGAGAAAAGCCUUGAGAGGCUCAGCGGUCCUUAUGGAUUUUACACAAACGAUUCAUUUUCUAAAACAAAAGUUAUACAUAUAAUAAUAUUAAAAUGCCAAGAAGUCUGACUGAUCAUCUGUUUAGGCAAACAACAUCAAACUAUCCCAGUUUACAAUAUAACUCCCAGAGUUUCACCUUUACUCAAGAGAACAACAACGCAACAAUGCCUGAGUUAACACAAACACUCAUUAGAAGUGUUUUCCAUAUCUGACAGGGCUUUGUAGCACCUCCCCAUGCUGUAAGCUUUGGUAUUAUAAGUACUGAUAAAGAACCUGUACCUUUUUGUUCUAGCAGACAUUGUGGAUUAUAAUAAGACCAAAAUCUUCCUUAGCUAGUGUGCAGUAUUUAAUAAAUCGGUGUGAACUUUUACAGGGAGUCAGUGUAGUGUGGGUACUGUGUGUAUUGCUGAUGUAGUCAAACUUUCUAGCACUUUCUAACUGCUGCAGCAACUUUUUAGCAAUGUUUCUGAGAUUUAAAAAAAUCACCUGGAUAUCUGUUUAUGUGCAUGCUGAGACCAUACAAUCACAUAGUAGUAUAGUCUUUUCACCUUGUGCGCCAUAGGAAAGCUACACUAUAGGGCUAAAAGUAUGUGCCCCCUGACCAUCACACCCAUAUGAUCUUCUUCCCCAAACAGUUUCCACAAAGUCCAGAGCGCACAGUUGUACAGAACGUCCCUGUGCAUGUAGUGUUACAGCUUCACUUCACCUGAUCUCAGAGCCGAAACUCUGCUCCAUCAUGACAAUGUCCCUUCGCACAAAGCAGCUCCAUGAAGACACGGUGUGGAGGUGAAUGUUGGAGUGAAGAUCUCGAGUGUCCUACACAGACCACUGACUCUGACAUAACACCUUUGGGAUGAACUGGAACCGAAGUCUCCUAAACAUCUCAAAAUCAGAGUCGAUCACAUGAACACUAAUCCACACAGCCAUAAUCCAACAUCUAGUGGAAAAAUAUUCCAUAAGAGAAGAUAAGAAUAGCACUGAUUGUAACAGCAAACGAUGUGGAUUGAGACGUUCAGCAUGCACAUGUGGGUUUGAUGGUCAGAGGUACACAUACUUGUUGGUCAUACAGUUUAUCUGCUUGAUGUAAGGUUAAUUAUCAGUACUUGUUCUUCUUCCUUUUCCCUUUCGAAUCCUGGGACUAGUUUGUGUGUGUUUGAGGGGAAACUGGAAAGAAAGAAUCUGAAUCCUUUGGUUCUCUCAGGCAUGAGCAGGAACCGUUGUGUCAGAUGUGUUGACUCAGGCUGGAUAAAUCAGUAGCAUGGUGAGAUGAUACUGAGAACAUGGUUCAAAGAUGAUUCAACACACUUCUGGAUUAUUGCAGGACUGACAGUUAGUAUUUUCAUUGUUUCUCUUCUCCAUUCCUCUGUGUUUACACGUUUUUUAAAUAAUGUACAAGCCAUUGUUCUUGUAUGAAUAACUUCUAUGUGAAAAAUGUGAAAGUGUCUUAUUUCCCCCUCAGCGUUUCUGUAACUGAAGCACUGCACCAAUGUUUUUGUUCCAGCAUUUAUUUCUCAUCAUUUUUCAUUCUUUAAUUUCACAGUGAUGUUUAAUUGAAUAUCUAAAAGUUGAGUAGAUACUAGCCCUGGGAUUUAGGGUUAGGGUUCACAUGAGCCCUGUUGGAGCCCUGGGGUUUAGGGUUAGGGUUCACAUGAGCCCUGUUGCAGCCCUGGGGUUUAGGGUUAGGGUUCAUGUGAGCCCUGUUGGAGCCCUGGGGUUUAGGGUUAGGGUUCACGUGAGCCCUAUUGGAGCCCUAGGGUUUAGGGUUAGGGUUCACAUGAGCCCUGUUGGAGCCCUAGGAUUAGAGUUCAUGUGAGCCCUGUUGGAGCCCUAGGGUUUAGGGUUAGGGUUCACGUGAGCCCUGUUGGAGCCCUAGGGUUUAGGGUUAGGGUUCACGUGAGCCCUGUUGGAGCCCUAGGGUUUAGGGUUAGGGUUCACAUGAGCCCUGUUGGAGCCCUAGGGCUGGAGAAAAUCCUGCUUAAUCUGUUCAGCUGCCAGCUCACAGGUCUGGAACAGCAUCUUUGCCAGCUGACAAAUUAUUUUAUAAAUUUGUUUUAUUGGAUUUAACAUUGAGCAGCAGAAUGAGAUUGUCUUUACAGUUCAAUCAUGUGUGACGUAGCAUUAUUAGCGAUUCAGACGCAGCUCUCUUUCUACUUGCACUUUCCAGCUGGUAAAAUAUGGUUUACAAGCAGGUGCUUUGGUAGUGAGUGAGAAAAAAUAAAAAGUGAGAAGAUAUUCUUGAAUAAAUGAAAUAAAUGA